Molecule: ribosomal RNA, 603 nt
Filed under: Triticum aestivum (bread wheat)
Lineage: Eukaryota; Viridiplantae; Streptophyta; Magnoliopsida; Poales; Poaceae
Description: partial small subunit ribosomal RNA
Source: RNAcentral
AUGGCAUUUGGAGUGCUCCAAGCUUGUUUUCUAGUUGUUCAAGAAUUUGCAAAAAUAUGGGAUCCAAAGACGUUGUCGGUGGUGAUGACAGUUUGUGUGAUCACACACAACAUGAUUGUGGAGGCUGAGAAUGAUAGAGUUCGCCAUUGUCUGGAAUUUGAGCGCAUGGGUGAUCCUAUCCAACUUCCAGAGCAAAAUUUGGCAACGUUUGAGGAUUUUAUCCAAAUGCAUCAACAGAUUCGCCAUCGAGUAACUCAUGAGCAGCUUCUGAAUGGUCUAGUUGAGCAUUUGAGGCCACAGUUUUCGACAAUGGACCCUCUAUCGGCCUUCACUCUCGUGACUGCCGUGAUGAUGGGUUGGAUGGGUGAUGCGGGUGCCGGAACUUCGGCCACGACUGGGGUGGUUGUUUUUAGUCCCAUGCGAGAGUUUUCUACUCGCUCCAGCCGCUCCCUCUACCUCCAAUGCAAUGGUGGUGACAACGACUAUGGCAAUGGACGGGUCGUCGGCUUAGGUUGCCGGCACAUUCACCUUGGCCAUACCAUCGUUCCUGCCAGGGUUUGGUCUUGCGCAGUCUACUCCAUCUCCACCUUCAGCAUGGUCUAG